RNAcentral lists this ribosomal RNA (891 nucleotides) under Pseudomonas sp. 409P5. RNAcentral describes it as "bacterial SSU rRNA". It matches the Rfam family "Bacterial small subunit ribosomal RNA", at positions 53 to 940 of the family's 1533-position model. The record is from RNAcentral. Lineage: Bacteria; Pseudomonadati; Pseudomonadota; Gammaproteobacteria; Pseudomonadales; Pseudomonadaceae.
ACAUGCAGUCGAGCGGUAGAGAGAAGCUUGCUUCUCUUGAGAGCGGCGGACGGGUGAGUAAUGCCUAGGAAUCUGCCUGGUAGUGGGGGAUAACGCUCGGAAACGGACGCUAAUACCGCAUACGUCCUACGGGAGAAAGCAGGGGACCUUCGGGCCUUGCGCUAUCAGAUGAGCCUAGGUCGGAUUAGCUAGUUGGUGAGGUAAUGGCUCACCAAGGCGACGAUCCGUAACUGGUCUGAGAGGAUGAUCAGUCACACUGGAACUGAGACACGGUCCAGACUCCUACGGGAGGCAGCAGUGGGGAAUAUUGGACAAUGGGCGAAAGCCUGAUCCAGCCAUGCCGCGUGUGUGAAGAAGGUCUUCGGAUUGUAAAGCACUUUAAGUUGGGAGGAAGGGCAGUUACCUAAUACGUAUCUGUUUUGACGUUACCGACAGAAUAAGCACCGGCUAACUCUGUGCCAGCAGCCGCGGUAAUACAGAGGGUGCAAGCGUUAAUCGGAAUUACUGGGCGUAAAGCGCGCGUAGGUGGUUUGUUAAGUUGGAUGUGAAAUCCCCGGGCUCAACCUGGGAACUGCAUUCAAAACUGACAAGCUAGAGUAUGGUAGAGGGUGGUGGAAUUUCCUGUGUAGCGGUGAAAUGCGUAGAUAUAGGAAGGAACACCAGUGGCGAAGGCGACCACCUGGACUGAUACUGACACUGAGGUGCGAAAGCGUGGGGAGCAAACAGGAUUAGAUACCCUGGUAGUCCACGCCGUAAACGAUGUCAACUAGCCGUUGGGAGCCUUGAGCUCUUAGUGGCGCAGCUAACGCAUUAAGUUGACCGCCUGGGGAGUACGGCCGCAAGGUUAAAACUCAAAUGAAUUGACGGGGGCCCGCACAAGCGGUGGAGCAU